CCCUUAGAUGUUCUGGGCCGCACGCGCGCUACACUGUUCGACGCAGCGAGUCUUAACCUUGACCGAAAGGUUUGGGUAAUCUUCAGCAAAGUCGAACGUGAUGGGGAUCGAUCAUUGCAAUUAUUGAUCGUGAACGAGGACUUCCUAGUAAGUGCAAGUCAUCAGCUUGCGCUGAUUACGUCCCUGCCCUUUGUACACACCGCCCGUCGCUACUACCGAUUGAAUGGUUUAGUGAGAUCUCUGGAUUGACGCUGGCUAGGGGGCGACCCUUGGCCAGACUGUUGAGAAACUGCUCAAACUUGAUCAUUUAGAGGAAGUAAAAGUCGUAACA
Molecule: ribosomal RNA, 331 nt
Filed under: uncultured eukaryote
Lineage: Eukaryota
Description: partial 18S ribosomal RNA
Rfam family: Eukaryotic small subunit ribosomal RNA
Source: RNAcentral